GCGAUGAGGUGUGGGUAGGGGAGAAAUUCCAAUCGAACCCGGAGAUAGCUGGUUCUCCUCGAAAUAGCUUUAGGGCUAGCCUCGGUUUAGUCUGCUGGAGGUAGAGCACUGAAUUUCCUAGGGGGCGUCAAAGCUUACCGAAGAAUAUCAAACUCCGAAUGCCAGCCAGAUGAUGACCGGGAGUCAGACUGCACGAGAUAAGUUGGGUAGUCAAAAGGGAAAGAGCCCAGACCACCGGCUAAGGUCCCAAAGUGCGUGUUAAGUGGAAAAGGAUGUGGGAAUUCGAAGACAACUAGGAUGUUGGCUCAGAAGCAGCCAUACAUUCAAAGAGUGCGUAACAGCUCACUAGUCGAGAGUUCCUGCGCCGAAAAUGUCCGGGGCUGAAACACGACACCGAAGCCGUGGACUCGCAAUGCGAGUGGUAGAGGAGCAUUCUUAAAACCGACGAAGCUGUACCGAAAGGAGCAGUGGAGGGAUAAGAAGAGAGAAUGCCGGAAUGAGUAGCGAGAGAAAGGUGGGAAUCCUUUCGGCCGAAUAUCUAAGGUUUCCAGAGUAAAGCUGAUCUGCUCUGGGUAAGUCGGGGCCUAAGCACAGGUCGCAAGACGUAAGCGAUGGAUAACAGGUUUAGAUUCCUGUACCACGCAUUAUCAGAACUGUAGGGACGCAUGUGGAAAGCACGAGCCGGGAAUGGAAAGACCGGUACAAGCGGGGUAGGUGUACAACAGGCAAAUCCGUUGUAUAAUCCGAAGACGUGAUGUGGAGCGAAAUAAAGUAGUGAAGCGUGUGAGCCAUGUGCCGAGAAAAGCUGCUAUUGUGUAAUGCGUGCCCGUACCGUAAACCGACACAGGUGGAUGAGGAGAGAAUCCUAAGGCCGACGGAAGAAGCAUUGUUAAGGAAUUCGGCAAAAUGACCCCGUAACUUCGGGAGAAGGGGUGCCUACGAAUGUAGGCCGCAGAGAAUUGGCCCAAGCAACUGUUUAGCAAAAACACAGGUCUAUGCGAAACCGAAAGGUGAAGUAUAUGGGCUGACGCCUGCCCGGUGCUGGAAGGUUAAGAGGAGAGGUUAGCUUCGGCGAAGCUUUGAAUUUAAGCCCCAGUAAACGGCGGCCGUAACUAUAACGGUCCUAAGGUAGCGAAAUUCCUUGUCGGGUAAGUUCCGACCCGCACGAAAGGCGUAAUGAUUUGAGCGCUGUCUCGGCAAUACAUCCGGUGAAAUUGAAGUGCCAGUGAA
This 1230-nucleotide ribosomal RNA is filed under the name human gut metagenome. Its description in RNAcentral is "bacterial LSU rRNA". It matches the Rfam family "Bacterial large subunit ribosomal RNA", at positions 801 to 2057 of the family's 2925-position model. The record is from RNAcentral.